CCUACGGGGGGCAGCAGUAGGGAAUCUUUCACAAUGGGCGAAAGCCUGAUGGAGCAACGCCGCGUGCAGGAUGAAGGCAUUCGGGUUGUAAACUGCUUUUAUAAGCGAGAAAUAUGAUGGUAACUUAUGAAUAAGGAUCGGCUAACUACGUGCCAGCAGCCGCGGUCAUACGUAGGAUCCGAGCAUUAUCCGGAGUGACUGGGUGUAAAGAGUUGCGUAGGUGGCAUAAUAAGUAGCUAGUGAAAUCUGGUGGCUCAACCAUUCAGACUAUUAGCUAAACUGUUAAGCUCGAGACCGUUAGGGGUAACUGGAAUUUCUAGUGUAGGAGUGAAAUCCGUAGAUAUUAGAAGGAACACCAAUAGCGUAGGCAGGUUGCUGGGACGGUUCUGACACUAAGGCACGAAAGCGUAGGGAGCAAACGGGAUUAGAUACCCGUGUAGUC
Molecule: ribosomal RNA, 442 nt
Filed under: uncultured bacterium
Lineage: Bacteria
Description: partial 16S ribosomal RNA
Rfam family: Bacterial small subunit ribosomal RNA
Source: RNAcentral